RNAcentral lists this antisense RNA (69 nucleotides) under Kutzneria buriramensis. RNAcentral describes it as "ASpks TB sRNA". It matches the Rfam family "ASpks TB sRNA". Lineage: Bacteria; Bacillati; Actinomycetota; Actinomycetes; Pseudonocardiales; Pseudonocardiaceae. The record is from RNAcentral.
CUUGAUCGACCCCAGCCACAGGGGCUCGCGCCGGUCCUGUCCGUACGAGGCGAGCAGCGCCUGCGCCUC